This is a long non-coding RNA of Mirounga angustirostris (Northern elephant seal), 516 nucleotides long. RefSeq lists it as uncharacterized. The transcript is spliced from 2 exons. The record is from RefSeq and is a predicted model, not a curated record. Lineage: Eukaryota; Metazoa; Chordata; Mammalia; Carnivora; Phocidae.
CGGACUUCGCGUUGACGACAGCGCCUCUUUUGCUCUAGGGUUUCUCUCCAGUAUGAUUCUUUGAUAUGGAAUAAGUUGUGAUUUCUGACUGAAGGCUUUCCCACAUUCUUUACAACCAUAAGAUUCUUCUACUGAAUGAAUUUUCCCAUGCUGAAGAUGACCACAGGGUUUCCUACAUUCUUCAUGCUUAAAUGGCUUCUCUCCAGCGUGAGUUCUCUGGUGUUAAGUUGUGGGUUAAGACUGACUGCUUUUCCAUAUUUAUUACACCCCUAAAGGUUCCCUUCACUAUGAAUUAGCUGAUGUUAAGUAAGGCAUGAGCUACAAAGGCUUUCAAACAUUUAUUACAUUUAUAUGGUUUUUCUCCAGUGUGAAUUUUUUUUUUUUUUGACCUCUAAAAUUUAAAGUUUGACUAAAAUCUUUCCCACAUUCAGGGCACCUGUGGGAUUUUUUUCUAGUAUGAAUUUGCUGGUGUAGAAUAAGAUCUGAAUUGUAUUAAAGCUUUGGCCACAUUCAUCA